Molecule: ribosomal RNA, 939 nt
Filed under: Hypomyces multiseptatus
Lineage: Eukaryota; Fungi; Ascomycota; Sordariomycetes; Hypocreales; Hypocreaceae
Description: LSU rRNA
Rfam family: Eukaryotic large subunit ribosomal RNA
Source: RNAcentral
GUUGACCUCGGAUCAGGUAGGAAUACCCGCUGAACUUAAGCAUAUCAAUAAGCGGAGGAAAAGAAACCAACAGGGAUUGCCCCAGUAACGGCGAGUGAAGCGGCAACAGCUCAAAUUUGAAAUCUGGCCCCUCGGGCCCGAGUUGUAAUUUGUAGAGGAUGCUUUUGGCAAGGUGCCGCCCGAGUUCCCUGGAACGGGACGCCGCAGAGGGUGAGAGCCCCGUCUGGCUGGCCACCGAGCCUCUGUAAAGCUCCUUCGACGAGUCGAGUAGUUUGGGAAUGCUGCUCAAAAUGGGAGGUAUAUGUCUUCUAAAGCUAAAUAUUGGCCAGAGACCGAUAGCGCACAAGUAGAGUGAUCGAAAGAUGAAAAGCACUUUGAAAAGAGGGUUAAACAGUACGUGAAAUUGUUGAAAGGGAAGCGCUCAUGACCAGACUUGGGCUUGGCGAAUCAUCCGGCGUUCUCGCCGGUGCACUUCGCCUCGCCCAGGCCAGCAUCAGUUCGCGCCGGGGGACAAAAGCUUCGGGAAUGUGGCUCCUCCGGGAGUGUUAUAGCCCGUUGCAUAAUACCCUGGUGCGGACUGAGGUUCGCGCAUCUGCAAGGAUGCUGGCGUAAUGGUCAUCAGCGACCCGUCUUGAAACACGGACCAAGGAGUCGUCUUCGUAUGCGAGUGUUCGGGUGUCAAACCCCUACGCGUAAUGAAAGUGAACGCAGGUGAGAGCUUCGGCGCAUCAUCGACCGAUCCUGAUGUUCUCGGAUGGAUUUGAGUAAGAGCAUACGGGGCCGGACCCGAAAGAAGGUGAACUAUGCCUGUAUAGGGUGAAGCCAGAGGAAACUCUGGUGGAGGCUCGCAGCGGUUCUGACGUGCAAAUCGAUCGUCAAAUAUGGGCAUGGGGGCGAAAGACUAAUCGAACCUUCUAGUAGCUGGUUUCCGCCGAAGUU